Molecule: long non-coding RNA, 2782 nt
Filed under: Daucus carota (carrot)
Lineage: Eukaryota; Viridiplantae; Streptophyta; Magnoliopsida; Apiales; Apiaceae
Description: long non-coding RNA (DCAR_LNC006495)
Source: RNAcentral
UUCCAGUCAAAAAAAGGUAAAUCCGACCACAAACGGUCCAUUAUAUUAUGCGGCUGAACAAAAAGAGCGUUUGAUUUUAUACAUUGAUUGGAUAAGCUGAAACUCGAAUAUACAUGCAGUGGCGGAGCGAGGUAGAGACCUCUGGGUGAAUUUAUAUUACACUUAGAGAAAGAAGAAAGAACACAGUGUGAUGAUUGAUUUUAUACUUUCUAUGAUUUAUUUGGAUGGAAAUUUUUAGAGUGCCCCCUCACGAUGUAUGUUCUGGCUCCGCCAAUGUAUACAUGUACUUUAUACAUAAGGUACAUAAGAAACUCAGGUACUAGAUUUUCCAAUGCUCCAAUGCUUGCUAUCAGUCCCGAAAACGAAAGCCCCUGCAGAAAUACAAAUGCGAGACGAAAUUCAAUUUACUAAAGUAAAACAUAAAGUUUGCGUUAAAAAAACGGUUUCUAUGAUGUGAUCAUGAGCAUGCUAAAUACUAAAUUUCAUGAAUUUGACUCAUUUUGAGUGGAUCCUAUACUCUGCAUAUACAAAAAUUAUAUCAAUCAAAAUAAACUAAAUGCAUAGAAUUUAACGCUUAACAUAUGACCAUGACACACACCAGAUAAACUGUUAAAAAAUUCAUGUCGAAAAGAUGGAAAGGAUCGUGGAUAACAUAAAAUUACAUACCUAGGGUAGGCAUCACAACAGAUAACACCACAAUUCCAGCAAAUUUCAGCGGAAUCCCGGUCUUGAGCAUAUCUUUGAGAUCAAUGUGUCCUGUGGUGAACCCUAUUACAUUCGAAGGAGUUCCUGUCGGAAGGAGGAAGGCAAGCUGUGCUCCUAUUGAACCGGGAAGCAUAAGGAGCAGUGGAUGGACGUGCAUUGUUUUUGCGAUUUCUAUCAGAAGCGGGAGAACUAGAGUUGUGGUAGCAUUAUUUGAUGUGAUGAACUCGGUCAGUGUUGCACAUAUGAGACAGACUGCAGGAGCCAUGGCUAAGUAGGGAACUUGCUCUAAGAAAUCUAAGGCUUUUGAUAGUACGUUAGUGAGUCCACUUGUUUGGACUCCCUCGGCUAAGGCUAAUCCGGCUCCUAGUAGUAAUACAAUACCCCAUGGAAGUUUUUUGCAUUUGUUCCAGUCCAUUAGUUUCUCACCUGGUUGUUUCUUAUUUGGAAUUAUGAACAGCAGAGUUGCCAUCAUAACCUAUACAGAUGAACCGUUGCUAUGUAUCAAAAACAUUGUACAGCGAAAGGGGAUUUCAGAGUUUAGUUAGCUUAUCACCAGAAGGAAUGCAGGAAUGCAGGAAUGCUUAAUGCUCAUCUUAAUACUUAUACUUGGGGAGGAUGCGAGGCGUAUCACUGACACUGAACUUAACCCGAUAUACAGUCAUCAGUCUCAUCCCUCUUAUAGUGAACACUACUACUUAAAUUGAGAUGUUCUUGAAUACAUCAGUCUUUAUUUCUAAAUGAUUAGUCUCAAUAUAUUCAUUUGAAUUAUGUGUUAUUUUAAGAUUUACGAAUACUCACACUAACUGUUCCAUCUCCUGCACGACCGUUAAACAGAGCACCCCAUCCUGGAAUGUCAUCUGUUAUACUCCUCGUCAUCCACAGAAAAAUCAAAAUCUGAAAAUAAAAAGACCCGUAUAUCAUAAAUGCACAUAGAUUUUUUUCUGAUACUAAGAAGUUCACUUGCUACAAAAUCACGUAUUGUCACAGUACCGAAAAUAUGGUCAAUAUCAUCUUCUCAGCAAAAGCCAUUGGACCUGUGUACAAGUCAUGAAACAUCAUUUUUAUAUAGCACCUACUCUCAAAUUUGUAAUUAAAUUUGGGCACUUACCUAGCAUAUCAAGCUCCCUCUUCAAAUGGGAUUUAUCAAGAUAAGUAGAAAGAGUUGGACCUGAACCCUUUGGUACAAACCAUAAGCAAAGAAUGAUCCACAUAGCGAAGAAAAUGAAUAGAGCCAACGGGAACCCGAAAAGAAUAUAAGUGCUGAAUGUAAUAGGAUCGGCUUCUGGAAAGUAACUUUUCCACAUUCCAACCAAUAUCAGAUUAACACCUGUCCCAGUGAGUGUGCUUAUACCUCCAAUUGUUGCAGAGUAUAUUACACCUAAAACGACAGCUUUGCAGAACUUGGUAGUUACAACGUCGGAUCGUGGACCAGUUGGGAAUCUCUGUAAUAUACCAGUUGCUACCGGCAUCAUCAUUAAAGCUACUGCUGUGUUGUGCAUCCACAUGCUGAUGAAUGCUGUUGUGCCACAUAUUCCUAGCAGUAGUAUUUGUGGGUUCAGUGGUUCCCCGCUGAAUAAUACUGUUAUCUGCAUAAUGUGGUAGGAAAAUGACACUUUAAACUUGCGGGCUCGAGUGUUNGGAUGGAAAUUUUUAGAGUGCCCCCUCACGAUGUAUGUUCUGGCUCCGCCAAUGUAUACAUGUACUUUAUACAUAAGGUACAUAAGAAACUCAGGUACUAGAUUUUCCAAUGCUCCAAUGCUUGCUAUCAGUCCCGAAAACGAAAGCCCCUGCAGAAAUACAAAUGCGAGACGAAAUUCAAUUUACUAAAGUAAAACAUAAAGUUUGCGUUAAAAAAACGGUUUCUAUGAUGUGAUCAUGAGCAUGCUAAAUACUAAAUUUCAUGAAUUUGACUCAUUUUGAGUGGAUCCUAUACUCUGCAUAUACAAAAAUUAUAUCAAUCAAAAUAAACUAAAUGCAUAGAAUUUAACGCUUAACAUAUGACCAUGACACACACCAGAUAAACUGUUAAAAAAUUCAUGUCGAAAAGAUGGAAAGGAUCGUGGAUAACAUAAAAUUA